CAAAGAAUUUAUGUUUAAGCAGAAUUAAUUUAUCCUUAUUCAUAAAUUCUAUGAAAAAAGAUAUUGUUUUUCACAUAUUUAAUAAUUUUAGUUUUAAUAAAGAUUUCACCAUUUUUUAUAAGUACAACAAUAACAGCUUACUUUAAGAGUCACCUCUAUUAUUUAUUAUUUAUUCGCUCAAAUUAUUAUUAUUAGAAGCCUGUGUUUCAGGCAUAAUGUUUGUUUGUAGGUUGAAAAGAAUUGAAUAAUUAUAAUAUCAACCAUUAAUUGAGUUCGGAAUGUGUGCCAGGCAUUGUUCUAAGAGUUUUACUCAUUUAAUUCAUUAACUUAUCCUAGUCAUCUAAGUACAUAUUAUUAUCUGCCCUGAUACAGAUGAAUGAUUUCUUUACCUUCCCUUGUUCAUAUGGCUGGUAAGCGGGAGGGCGCUAGGAUUUUAACCCACGCAUCGCAGUGCCCGAACCCUUGGUCUUAACUUCUAGGCUAUCCCUGCUAUCUGGAGCCUCUCAAUUCAGUGUAAAAGCUACAAUGCAAAGCUGUAGUUCCACCUACAUGAUAAGUACCAGCUGUGAUAGACUCAUGAUAGACACAGAAAGGAAGUGCUAGGGGAAAGUCGGGAAAGAGUUGAUGGAUGAACUAAACAUGAACUAAGUUUGGAAGGAUGAGUAGAGUUUCACUAGGAGCACAAGGGAAAACAGGCAGUUUUAGGCAGAGCAAACAAUAUGAGUAAAGGUAGGAGGUAAGAAAGGGCACAAGUCUUGAGGGGACAAGCAGAGCACAGAGCACUUGUGGGAGAGCAGCAGAGAUAGAAGCAGGAACCUGGACAGCACAGUUGCUUCAUGGGCCCUGGGCCCCUCCAGGAAUCUUGGUUAGCUGUGGGAAGGUCUGAACUCAUAUUCAUGUUGUCAUGCUGUUGAAAAAUAUCCUAUAUGGUAGUUCUCAUUAAGCAUUUACCAUUACUUAGCUAUAUCUUAUUUCUCUAGAAAAAAUUAUAUAGUGUUUAUAAUGGGAGAAAUGGCACUGGGGCAACUGGAGGAAGGAAUGAGCACCCUCUCUACAAAUUCUUGUCUUGAUGAUUCUGUAGUGUUCAAGAUAGUUAAAAUAACACCGCUCACCAAGUACAUGUAUACAUGCCACAUAAUUUCAUUAUCAUCAUAAUUUUGAGAGUGAAGAGUCACUUACAAUCAUCUCCAUUUUACCAAUAAAGAAACAGUGACCUUAAAAUGAUGAGAGACUUAUGACUAGAAAGUUGCCUAAAUUAGACUGGAACACAUGUGUUCCUGUAAAUUAUAUCAAAAGCCUCAUGCCAAAUAACACUCAUUCUUAGGGUGAAGUUGUGGGAAAUGAGGAGCAAAGACAAAUGCAGCUUAUGUUAACUGACUGUCCUAUCUACUGAGGAUUCCACAUCAUAUGAACACUAGGAAAAGCCAAUGCUGUCUGAGAAGUCCUAAAAGCAUUUAUUGUCCUGAAAACAUUUUGUUGAAUUGCAGUGUCACAUCUUUCAGCUAAUAUGUCUUUUCAUUUCCAAAAAUUUUGGCCUUCUACAUUUCAAUCUAUAUAGAAAUUAUUGAUUUCUUCUAAGUAAAAUAAUAUUGAUCCUCCAGCUAGUUUUAUUCUGCUACUUAAGAUACAGAAAGAAACUUGUAUUUAUUAUUUUUCUCCAAAACUGACCAUUUAAAUACUUUUCAAUUCUUUACUGCUUUGCAUAUGUAGUUAAGAUAAAUAUUUGAAAUACAUUCGUAAAUAUUUUAUAAUUGAACUAUGUAUACAUGACGUUUCGAGAAAAAAAUACACACAUUUUCUCAAGUUUAGCUAGAUUUGCUGGAUACCUCCUAAGUUAUUUUUAGGUGUUUAAAUCUUAUCCUAUAUAAAAGCCUACCAUCUGCUAAGAAUCCACUGGGGAUUAUAAAGAAGAAGUGAAAGUUUUAAUUUAUUCAUAUAGUUCUUCAUCAUUCUGUAAGUUAACUAAUGUGCUGGGUUUUUGCAGAUAGUGAGAGUGAAGGUCAGCAGAGGAAGCAAGAAGCUGUCAGGGUGUGAUGUAUCAGCUACAGCAACACACGAGAACGCUCCAACAUUGUCCUUAUAGUAACCUAAUGAGGAAGUUAUCAUUCCGCAUAUCAGGGGGUAGAAGCUGAGAUGUUAAGUGAUUUGCUGCAGGUCUUUACCCACUCGUUUAUGGUAGAGUUAGGGUAUAGACUUUCAAACAAUAUUCUUCCUUCAGCUCCAUAAUAGAGAUAAUGUAAAUUUUAAAGUUCAACUUGAGGAGUUCCUGUUGUGGCUCAGCAGUAAAACCCCAGUAAUAUCCAUGAAGACAUGGGUUCGAACCCUGGCCUCACUGAUUGGGGGCCAGUGAGCUGCCGUGUAGAUCACAGAUGCAACUUUGAUCUGGCAUUGCUGUGGCUGUGGUGUAGUCUGGCAGCUACAGCUCUGAUUCAACCCCUAGCCUGGGGACUUCCAUAUGCCAUAGGUGCGCCCUUAAAAAGACAAUAAAAUAAAUACAAUACAAUACCAUACAAUACAAUACAAUGAUAUGCUAUUUUGUAAAACUUUAGAACAUCUUUUAGGGCUAGAUAAUUGACUAAUGAGUUCUGCAUAUGGAAGCUACGGAGAUACUUCAUAAACUAGUCCCACACAAUAAUAUUUGGGCCACUUAAAGAAAAAUCUUUUGUUGGGUAGAAAUGAAGCUAUAACCAGUCACCUAAAUACUAACCAAAGAAAACUGCCCAUUGCAAAAUUGGAAAAGAAGUCAAGGUUGCCCUAUUGAAAGCAAUUAUGACAAACAAAAGGAUUUUAUUUAAAUUAUUACUGGUGAAGUCACUUUUUAGGCAGGACAUAGGGUAUUCAAAAUUAAUUUCAUGUCAUGGUUUAAUUACUAAUGAAUUUGCUUUUUUGAAAGUCUGAUGACAAAGAUGACACCCAUCUAAUUUCAAUGGAAGCGUUAGUCAUUGAAUUAGUUAAUUAAGAAUAUUAUAACCUCAAUUUAAAUUUUUUAUUAGUCUCAGUAUGCAAAUUUUUUAACCUUCAUAAGCUCCUCUCCCCUCUUCAAAAAAAUUUGGGGGGUAAGAACAAAUCCAAAUUUAAUUAUAAUAAUAAUAUGUUUAGAUUCUAAUUCUUAGACUGAAUUUUAUAAGUCAUUUUGUUGUUAUUUAUCAUUUCUCUGAGGAUCAGUGUCCUUAUAAUUAUAUCUGUGUUUUCUAUCUAAUCCAAUUGUUGUAGCAAUAAAUUGUAAAUACUAAGUACUGCAAUUAUUAUUAGAGAUGAGGUGAGUUUUUCUCACACACAUGAGAAUAUAUGAAAAUUUAAAUUUUUUAAGUACAAAAAUUCCCAGGAUUAAAAUUCAAGGAAGCAAAAGAAAGAUAUAUUUCACAUGUUCCUUCAUUUCUAUAAUUAUCUUUACUUCUCUAGCAGACUGGAAUAUAAAAUCUUCCACUUUGUUACCUCACAAAUAAGAAAAGAUGACAGUUGUUAGGUGACUUCAGAUGUUUUCUAAUUUAUCUUAAGGGUGGAGUUGGAUUUUUGUCACAGAAGUGUUAUUUUAGUGAAGAUUCUUGAACACAUGGAAAUGUGUUAUUUUUAUUGAAUGCCAUCUUUUUUUCCAUUAUACAUAAGAUAAGACUGCAUUUUGUACAAACAAAGAAAAAGGAGGGGGCAUGUAUAGAUGUCUAGCUGAAUUCUGAAGUUGACUCUCACAAAGUCUCAAAAUGUUGAGAUGAUUUUAGAAGAUUCAUACUGUAAGUUAAAAACAAAAUUCACAUUAAGUUAAUAAAAUAAUGAGAGUUAACAAUUUGAAGAAAUAAUUUUUAACUUAGGUACAACUUUUAUCAUGUUCUGAUCUUAUUUUAUCACAAGGAUGUAUAUGUAAGGGGUCUUGCCACCUCGCUUUCCAACUAAAACAUGUCCCUAUCUGCCUAAAAGUCAUCUACACCAGUUAUCUCCUUUGCAAAGAAAAUUAGAAUGAAAUUGGAAAAUUAGAAUGAAAUUGGAAAAUUAGAAUUCAUGAAUUCCUGAUGGCACAUAAACAAACUCAGUUUUCAAUUAUGAGAGAAUAACCAUUUGUGAUACACAGCUAAAUGUUAAAAUCUCCAGUAAGUUUAAACUAAUUAUUUUAUGAAAACAAAUUUCUGAAGUGACCCCUUAUCCAUCUUACCAAUGCAAGCUGUAUUUCUCUUGACACAAGAUUAAACUUAUAUUAGUCUGAUCCUCCAGAGAAACAGAAUCAAUAGGAGAUAUAAACAGAUGUAGAUAGAGACAGAGAUGCAUAUACAUAUACAUGCAUGUAAACACAGACACAAACAUAUACACAUAUAAAUAGAGGUUUAUAUAUGGAAUUGGCUCACACAGUUAUGGAGGCUGAGAAUCCCAAGACCUGCCAUCCUUCAGCCAGCAGGAAACCCAGAAGAGACAAUGGAAUAAGUUCCAGUCCAAUUCCAAGUUUAAAGGCAAGAGGAGACUGAAGUCCUAAUUCAAGAACAGGCAGAGAGGGUGAAUUCUCCCUUAUUCAGCCUUUUUGUUCUAUUUAGGCUUUCAACAGAUUGAACAAGACCCACUCACAUUGAGGAGUGCAAUUGGCUUUCCUGAGUCUACUAAUUUAAAUAUCAAUGUCAUCCAGAAACACCUUCCCAGACAUCCAAAAUAAGGUUUGACCAAGACCUGGGCACCCCAUGCUCAGUCAAGUUGACAUCUAAAAUCAACCAUCACAAAGUUUAUGCUCACAAGGUAAUGUGCACAUAAUGACAUACGCUUAGUCACAUUUACUCUUGUAACUUGUGUGGUGGUAAGUGGAGAGAGGAACAGGAAUUUAAGUCAGUUAGGUCUUUGCUUUAAAACACCAUCGAGGUGGUGUUUUAGCCAGAGAGGAAUGAGCCAUCUGCAAAUAGGAUCUGGUUAAAAUUAGGGGGGUUGGUGCCACUGGUCAUGUUUGCAAAUCAUUCAUGGAGGAAAAAAAAAUCAUAGAACUAUAUUUACUUACAAAUAGUGACUGAAACAACUAUUUGGUGUACUAUAGGAAAGUGCAAAAAACCCUAACUUUAUUGCUCAUCUUUUUAAUGUAUGUAAAAAUAUUUUCUGAGUGCUGACCAUAGACUAAACAAUAGAUGAAGUGCUAGAGAUUAAGAAGUACGACAGCCAGUAAGACCUUUAAAGUUGAAUUUGUUAAGAAACUGAGCUUUGAGUUGUGAGGUUGAAAUGAGAGACGGUCAAGAGAGAAGGCUCUAAUCAUUAUUCACUUGUUUCUCUCUCGCUCUCUCUUUUCAUUUGUCCAUACCCUUGGCAGUGGAACCUCUGGGGUCAGGGAUCAAAUCCAAGACCUACACCAUAGCUGUGACAAAACUGUGUAACAGUGGGAACUCCAUUCUUAUAUUUUUAUAUGAAAAUUUACAAAUACAGCAAAUGGAAAGAAGGUGAACUCCCAUUCACUCAUCAUCUAUAUUUGAUUAUUAAAACUCAGUUAUGUCAGUUCUUGGUCCUUUUUUUUUUUUUUUUUUGAUACUGGGUUACAUUUUCCUAUUUCUUCAUAGACAGAGUAAUUUGGUAUUACGUCCUCCAAAAAGUAUCAAUGCUUUUGUCUCAGCAAGCAAUACAUUUGGUUGGUAACCAACUGCAAACUCCAUCUGAGGCAGUAGGUCCAGUCUCAUUUCAGUUCAAACUUUAGCUGGGCUCCUUGGAAUCUGGUCUGUGCAUGGGUAGUUACAAAGCAGCCAGAGACCUAGGGAGAAUUGAUAUGCAGAAUAUGGGGUAUCCUUUUUCCUUUUCAGGAUUCUACUUUCACUCUCCAGUGACUCUCUUGCCCCCCAUACCAUCUUCUUAGUCUUCAGGUCACAAAGAUUGUGAGGUUUCUUUCAAAUCUUAGUCAUCCUAAGUGGUGCUAACCUCAAGCU
Molecule: long non-coding RNA, 5873 nt
Filed under: Sus scrofa (pig)
Lineage: Eukaryota; Metazoa; Chordata; Mammalia; Artiodactyla; Suidae
Description: lncRNA (ENSSSCG00000057378.1)
Source: RNAcentral